This 252-nucleotide unclassified non-coding RNA is filed under the name uncultured Bordetella sp. RNAcentral's name for it is "partial 16S-23S ribosomal RNA intergenic spacer". It matches the Rfam family "Bacterial small subunit ribosomal RNA", at positions 10 to 263 of the family's 1533-position model. Lineage: Bacteria; Pseudomonadati; Pseudomonadota; Betaproteobacteria; Burkholderiales; Alcaligenaceae. The record is from RNAcentral.
GGUUCGAUUAUGGCUCAGAUUGAACGCUGGCGGGAUGCUUACACAUGCAAGUCGGGCAGCGGCACGGACUUCGGUCUGGUGGCGAGUGGCGAACGGGUGAGUAAUGUAUCGGAACGUGCCCUAGUAGCGGGGGAUAACUACGCGAAAGCGUAGCUAAUACCGCAUACGCCCUUCGAGGAAAGCGGGGGGACCUUCGGGCCUCGCACUAUUAGAGCGGCCGAUAUCGGAUUAGCUAGUUGGUGGGAGUAACGG